UGAGGAAUAUUGGUCAAUGGGCGAGAGCCUGAACCAGCCAAGUAGCGUGCAGGAUGACGGCCCUAUGGGUUGUAAACUGCUUUUAUAUGGGAAUAAAGUGAGGGACGUGUCCCUUAUUGCAUGUACCAUACGAAUAAGGACCGGCUAAUUCCGUGCCAGCAGCCGCGGUAAUACGGAAGGUCCAGGCGUUAUCCGGAUUUAUUGGGUUUAAAGGGAGCGUAGGCUGUUUGUUAAGCGUGUUGUGAAAUGUAAGAGCUCAACUUUUAGAUUGCAGCGCGAACUGGCAGACUUGAGUGCGCACAACGUAGGCGGAAUUCAUGGUGUAGCGGUGAAAUGCUUAGAUAUCAUGAAGAACUCCGAUUGCGAAGGCAGCUUACGGGAGUGUUACUGACGCUUAAGCUCGAAGGUGCGGGUAUCGAACAGG
This 424-nucleotide ribosomal RNA is filed under the name Verrucomicrobiota bacterium. RNAcentral's name for it is "Verrucomicrobia bacterium partial 16S ribosomal RNA". It matches the Rfam family "Bacterial small subunit ribosomal RNA", at positions 355 to 776 of the family's 1533-position model. The record is from RNAcentral. Lineage: Bacteria; Pseudomonadati; Verrucomicrobiota.